CACCCGUUCCCAUUCCGAACACGGCAGUUAAGCCUCUCCGGGCCGAUGAUACUGCGCGGGCAACUGCGUGGGAAAGUAGGACGUCGCCGGAU
This 92-nucleotide ribosomal RNA is filed under the name Acidobacteriota bacterium. Lineage: Bacteria; Pseudomonadati; Acidobacteriota. The record is from RNAcentral.